GCCUUUGUGGCGCAGUGGUCAGCACGCUCGGCACGUAUUCGAGAGGUCCGUGGUUCGAGUCCCGGCCAGGGCA
This 73-nucleotide transfer RNA is filed under the name Stegodyphus mimosarum. It matches the Rfam family "tRNA". Rfam says of the family: Transfer RNA (tRNA) molecules are approximately 80 nucleotides in length. Their secondary structure includes four short double-helical elements and three loops (D, anti-codon, and T loops). Lineage: Eukaryota; Metazoa; Arthropoda; Arachnida; Araneae; Eresidae. The record is from Rfam by way of RNAcentral.